This 497-nucleotide ribosomal RNA is filed under the name uncultured bacterium. RNAcentral describes it as "partial 16S ribosomal RNA". It matches the Rfam family "Bacterial small subunit ribosomal RNA", at positions 28 to 507 of the family's 1533-position model. The record is from RNAcentral.
GAUGAACGCUGGCGGCGUGCCUAAUACAUGCAAGUCGAGCGAACAGACGAGGAGCUUGCUCCUCUGACGUUAGCGGCGGACGGGUGAGUAACACGUGGAUAACCUACCUAUAAGACUGGGAUAACUUCGGGAAACCGGAGCUAAUACCGGAUAAUAUAUUGAACCGCAUGGUUCAAUAGUGAAAGACGGUUUUGCUGUCACUUAUAGAUGGAUCCGCGCCGCAUUAGCUAGUUGGUAAGGUAACGGCUUAUCAAGGCAACGAUGCGUAGCCGACCUGAGAGGGUGAUCGGCCACACUGGAACUGAGACACGGUCCAGACUCCUACGGGAGGCAGCAGUAGGGAAUCUUCCGCAAUGGGCGAAAGCUUGACGGAGCAACGCCGCGUGAGUGAUGAAGGUCUUCGGAUCGUAAAACUCUGUUAUUAGGGAAGAACAAAUGUGUAAGUAACUGUGCACGUCUUGACGGUACCUAAUCAGAAAGCCACGGCUAACUACGUG